Long non-coding RNA from Cotesia glomerata, 279 nucleotides. RefSeq lists it as uncharacterized. Lineage: Eukaryota; Metazoa; Arthropoda; Insecta; Hymenoptera; Braconidae. The transcript has 4 exons. The record is from RefSeq and is a predicted model, not a curated record.
CUUUGUUGGGUUGUUUGAUUACAGAACCUGUAACAAAAAAAUUAUAAAAAUGAAAAACUUCAUUUUUUCCAUCGGUUUACUAAGUAUAUACUUUACUACAACAGCGAAUUCACUACUAACAGAAACAAACCCUAUACGAAGAGAUUUCUCAGAAAAUAGAGAACGGUGUUUACAUCUUUUAAGUAAUCAAACGGAUGGAGUGAAUAUAACUGCAAACAGCCCAAAUUUUCGGUGUUAUCAAACAUGUUUGGUAAAACGUAAAGGAUACUUGCAGGAUGG